GGGAUCUUAGCUCAGCUGGGAGAGCAUCUGCCUUACAAGCAGAGUGUCACUGGUUCGAGCCCUGUAGGUCCCA
RNAcentral lists this transfer RNA (73 nucleotides) under Roseburia sp. AF25-18LB. Its description in RNAcentral is "tRNA-Val". It matches the Rfam family "tRNA". Rfam says of the family: Transfer RNA (tRNA) molecules are approximately 80 nucleotides in length. Their secondary structure includes four short double-helical elements and three loops (D, anti-codon, and T loops). The record is from RNAcentral. Lineage: Bacteria; Bacillati; Bacillota; Clostridia; Lachnospirales; Lachnospiraceae.